GGAAGUUUGAGGCAAUAACAGGUCUGUGAUGCCCUUAGAUGUCCUGGGCCGCACGCGCGCUACACUGACACAUGCAACAAGUUUAUUUUUCCUGACUCGGAAGGGUUCGGGUAAUCUUGUAUAAUGUGUGUCGUGCUAGGGAUAGAUCUUUGGAAUUAUAGAUCUUGAACAAGGAAUUCCUAGUAAGCAUAAGUCAUCAGCUUGUGCUGAUUACGUCCCUGCCCUUUGUACACACCGCCCGUCGCUCCUACCGAUUUUGAGUGAUCCGGUGAACCUUCUGGACUGUGGCCAGGCUUGACCUGGUUGUGGGAAGUUAAGUAAACCUUAUCACUUAGAGGAAGGAGAAGUCGUAACAAGGUUUCCGUAGGUGAACCUGCAGAAGGAUCAA
Molecule: ribosomal RNA, 388 nt
Filed under: Bresslaua sp.
Lineage: Eukaryota; Ciliophora; Colpodea; Colpodida; Colpodidae
Description: SSU rRNA
Rfam family: Eukaryotic small subunit ribosomal RNA
Source: RNAcentral